Caenorhabditis elegans is the source of this 148-nucleotide non-coding RNA. Lineage: Eukaryota; Metazoa; Nematoda; Chromadorea; Rhabditida; Rhabditidae. The record is from Ensembl.
CCUCCCGAACUGUACACGUCGAUUAAACGAUUAUUGUGUUGGUAGAAGAGGAGAAAAGUUUUCUUCAUUUUUCUUUUUUUGUUUUACUUUUCUUUCUUACUCGCAGGUACAAAUUAUUCAAUUUAAAAGCACCACUCGGAACCACUGA